CCUAUUUGAACUCCAUUUCCACUUCACACAGGGGAGGAUCCUAUAGUAUGUGUCCGUCUGUGUAUGUGCGGAUGUAAGUGUGGAGGACUUCUGCACAGUGGA
Stegastes partitus (bicolor damselfish) is the source of this 102-nucleotide long non-coding RNA. RefSeq lists it as uncharacterized. The transcript is spliced from 4 exons. Lineage: Eukaryota; Metazoa; Chordata; Actinopteri; Pomacentridae. The record is from RefSeq and is a predicted model, not a curated record.